Hippocampus comes (tiger tail seahorse) is the source of this 997-nucleotide long non-coding RNA. RefSeq lists it as uncharacterized. The transcript has 3 exons. The record is from RefSeq and is a predicted model, not a curated record. Lineage: Eukaryota; Metazoa; Chordata; Actinopteri; Syngnathiformes; Syngnathidae.
CAAACAAGUGAUUUCACCAAAUGAUCCUGAAUCAGAAGUAGGUAUCCAAGACAGGUGGUUCAACACUAAAUUGCCGGAGUUUUUACUGAUGCCAUCUACUGUGGGUGGAGCAUCAUGCCAAAAUUUGAUGAUGCUUUUGAGGAAUCGCCUUAAAAAAAAUACAACGAUGGUUAUUUAUUUACCAAGGUCGAACCACCGAAUUGCCUCGUUACGACAGCAGACGUUGACAGGCUGUCUGAGAGACAAGACAAGAUGCCUUUGAGGACAUUUGGAGUGCGGCUAAUUAAUUGUAAUAAGCUUUGGCCGCCGCAUGCGCUGGCAAGGAGGUGUGAGGCUCGGAGCUCGGGCUUCCACCCACAACCCCCCCCCUCCCUACCCCUUGCGCCGAAGCCUCGACGACAGCGUGCAAUCCAGCGGGUUGACGCGCUCUGGCACUGGACGGUGGGCACAUCUGCUCUGAUUAAUCACCUGCUUCGCCUCGCGCAUACAUUUCAUUAUCGGCUUUAAGUGGGCGAAAACAACGAGGCUUUGAGGCGAACGAGCUGUGACGAGAGGGAAGAUGAAAGGUGGCAGAAAUGAGAGUCAUUUAUCAGUCUACUGUCAAUGGGGCCAAGUGAGGCACUGACCCUGAUCCAACCCCGAGAUUCACUCUUGGUGGGUUGAACAUCUUCUGAGCUGGUUGCGAGUGAGGCGUUGCAACUCUGACUUUGCCUUCCCUCUGCAAAGUUAAGUACAGCAAAUCAUAGCACAGCAACCAAACAGACAGCUGACAUCUGACCUGCCUGCGAGCUGACUCCGGGCUUCUAUCUGUGUCCCUCCAGACGUGACCGGGCCAUGCCCAGCCUGGUCGGGCAUGGAGCUGAGAGAGUGCCAGCCAAUGUCAUGCCAAGGCAGCGCUCCAGCAUUCCCGACUAGGCAUCAUUUUACAAACGGAAUGCUCUUCCAAACGAAUGCCGACUGGGCAGAUGGAUGAGCUGCCAAAAAGCUGCUCAAUCAA